UACGUAGGGUGCAAGCAUUAAUCGGAUUUAUUGGGCGUAAAGGGCGUGUAGGCGGAAAUAUAAGUCAGGUGUGAAAUCCCGGAGCUCAACUCCGGAACAGCAUUUGAAACUGCAUUUCUAGAGGGUAGGCGGAGAAAACGGAAUUCCACAAGUAGCGGUGAAAUGCGUAGAUAUGUGGAAGAACACCAGUGGCGAAGGCGGUUUUCUAGCUUAUACCUGACGCUGAGGCGCGAAAGCAAGGGGAGCAAACAGG
Molecule: ribosomal RNA, 253 nt
Filed under: uncultured bacterium
Lineage: Bacteria
Description: partial 16S ribosomal RNA
Rfam family: Bacterial small subunit ribosomal RNA
Source: RNAcentral